UACGGGGGGAGCAAGCGUUGUUCGGAUUUACUGGGCGUAAAGGGCGCGCAGGCGGCUCAUUUUGUCAGGCGUGAAAGCCCCGGGCUUAACCUGGGAACUGCGUUUGAUACGGAUGGGCUAGAGUUCGGGAGAGGAGAGUGGAAUUCCCAGUGUAGAGGUGAAAUUCGUAGAUAUUGGGAAGAACACCGGUGGCGAAGGCGGCUCUCUGGACCGAGACUGACGCUGAGGCGCGAAAGCGUGGGGAGCAAACAGG
This 253-nucleotide ribosomal RNA is filed under the name uncultured bacterium. Its description in RNAcentral is "partial 16S ribosomal RNA". It matches the Rfam family "Bacterial small subunit ribosomal RNA", at positions 524 to 776 of the family's 1533-position model. The record is from RNAcentral.